This 406-nucleotide ribosomal RNA is filed under the name Listeria monocytogenes. RNAcentral's name for it is "bacterial SSU rRNA". It matches the Rfam family "Bacterial small subunit ribosomal RNA", at positions 1016 to 1424 of the family's 1533-position model. Lineage: Bacteria; Bacillati; Bacillota; Bacilli; Caryophanales; Listeriaceae. The record is from RNAcentral.
CCCUUCGGGGACAAAGUGACAGGUGGUGCAUGGUUGUCGUCAGCUCGUGUCGUGAGAUGUUGGGUUAAGUCCCGCAACGAGCGCAACCCUUGAUUUUAGUUGCCAGCAUUUAGUUGGGCACUCUAAAGUGACUGCCGGUGCAAGCCGGAGGAAGGUGGGGAUGACGUCAAAUCAUCAUGCCCCUUAUGACCUGGGCUACACACGUGCUACAAUGGAUAGUACAAAGGGUCGCGAAGCCGCGAGGUGGAGCUAAUCCCAUAAAACUAUUCUCAGUUCGGAUUGUAGGCUGCAACUCGCCUACAUGAAGCCGGAAUCGCUAGUAAUCGUGGAUCAGCAUGCCACGGUGAAUACGUUCCCGGGCCUUGUACACACCGCCCGUCACACCACGAGAGUUUGUAACACCCGA